Oncorhynchus tshawytscha (Chinook salmon) is the source of this 1544-nucleotide long non-coding RNA. Lineage: Eukaryota; Metazoa; Chordata; Actinopteri; Salmoniformes; Salmonidae. The record is from Ensembl.
CGUUGGCGCUCUGCUCUCUCUCUGUGUCGUCUGCGUCUCUCCCUGGCUUUCUGUAUGGCUCUGAGCUCGGGGGGCUGCUCUAACUCACGAGCCUUCUUCAGGUGAGCUGCCGCGUGGGCCAUGGCUCACACACACACACCACACACACACUCUUUCUAGCUGACUUUUAGUCAAGCAAAACUUGUCUUUCGCUUAAACUCUCCCUCUCUAACUCUCACACACACUUUCUCAGACACACUCUCCGUCUGUCCUUUAGGUAAAAACACUAGUAGACUAGUUAUGAAGUAUGGAGCUGAAGAUCCUCUUGAGGUCCAGUCUUCAGUCUAGUCAACAACACGAAGCUGGAGGUUCUCUUGAGAUCCAGUCUUCAGUCUAGUCAACGAUACGGAGCUGGAGGUCCUCUUGAGAUCCAGUCUUCAGUCUGGUCAACGACACGGAGCUGGAGGUCCUCUUGAGAUCCAGUCUUCAGUCUAGUCAACGAUAUGGAGCUGGAGGUUCUCUUGAGAUCCAGUCUUCAGUCUAGUCAACGAUAUGGAGCUGGAGGUUCUCUUGAGGUCCAGUCUUCAGUCUAGUCAACGAUAUGGAGCUGGAGGAUCCUCUUGAGGUCCAGUCUUCAGUCUAGUCAACGAUAUGGAGCUGGAGGAUCCUCUUGAGGUCCAGUCUUCAGUCUAGUCAACGAUAUGGAGCUGGAGGUCCUCUUGAGGUCUAGUCUUCAGUCUAGUCAACGAUAUGGAGUUGGAGGAUCCUCUUGAGGUCCAGUCUUCAGUCUAGUCAACGAUAUGGAGCUGGAGGUCCUCUUGAGGUCCAGUCUUCAGUCUAGUCAAUGACACAGAGCUGGUGCCAUGAGUAUCCAAUAGAUCAAUUAUUAAUCGAGUUUCCAUGUCUAUUAUCUAUGUAUUCAUCUAUGCAUGCUAAUGAGCCAGUUGUAUUGCCUCAAUGGUCUUGUCUGGCAUGUGUUGAAUGUAGUUGGUCAGCUGGUAGUCACCUGGUAGUCACCUGGUAGUCACCUGGAAGUCGUCUGGAAGUCAUCUGGAAGUCGUCUGGAAGUCGUCUGGUAGUCAUCUGGUAGUCAUCUGGUAGUCACCCGGUAGUCAUCUGGUAGUCACCUGGAAGUCGUCUGGUAGUCACCUGGUAGUCACCUGGAAGUUGUCUGAAAGUUGUCUGGUAGUCACCUGGUAGUCACCUGGUAGUCGUCUGGACUGAAAUACCAGUAAAUGUGAUGAUGUCGUAAAAAUCCCUUUUGGUAGAAAACAGUAAGUCCUUUACUGGUUCCCCUUGUUCUUAACCAACCAGACUGAGAUCAUGUGUUUUAAGUCCUUCCUCCCUCUGUUCCCUCUCUUUCUCUCAUCCCUUCUUCCUCCCUCGCGGACCCGAUGGAGAGAGUGUUGUCAGGACAUGAGAGACAAAGACACUAAGACUACUGGAGCAACUCUCUCUCUGUCUCUGUCUCUCCGUCUACCUCUCUGUCUCUGUCUAUCUCUCUCCGUCUCUCUCUCUCUCCUUGUCUCUCUCUCUCUCUCUCUCUCUCUCACAGACACAUCCAC